AAUAUUGGACAAUGGGGGCAACCCUGAUCCAGCCAUGCCGCGUGUGUGAAGAAGGUCUUCGGAUUGUACAGCACUUUAAGUUGGGAGGAGUGGCUUUAGGCUAAUACCCUGAAGUUUUGACGUUACCAACUUAAUAAGACCUGGCUACCUCUGUCCCAGCAGCCGCGGUAAUACAGAGGGUGCAAGCGUUAAUCGGAAUUACUGGUCGUAAAGCGCGCGUAGGUGGUUCAGUAAGAUGGGUGUGAAAUCCCCGGGCUUAACCUGGGAACUGCUUUCACAACUGCUGAGCUAGAGUACGGUAGAGGGUAGUGGAAUUUCCUGUGUAGCGGUGAAAUGCGUAGAUAUAGGAAGGAACACCAGUGGCGAAGGCGACUACCUGGACUGAUACUGACACUGAGGUGCGAAAGCGUGGGGAGCAAA
This 420-nucleotide ribosomal RNA is filed under the name uncultured bacterium. Its description in RNAcentral is "partial 16S ribosomal RNA". It matches the Rfam family "Bacterial small subunit ribosomal RNA", at positions 360 to 772 of the family's 1533-position model. The record is from RNAcentral.